This 253-nucleotide ribosomal RNA is filed under the name uncultured bacterium. Its description in RNAcentral is "partial 16S ribosomal RNA". It matches the Rfam family "Bacterial small subunit ribosomal RNA", at positions 524 to 776 of the family's 1533-position model. The record is from RNAcentral.
UACAGGGGGGGCAAGCGUUGUUCGGAAUUACUGGGCGUAAAGCGCGCGUAGGCGGCUUUGUAAGUUAGAGGUGAAAGCCCGGAGCUCAACUCCGGAAUUGCCUUUAAGACUGCAUCGCUUGAAUCAUGGAGAGGUGAGUGGAAUUCCGAGUGUAGAGGUGAAAUUCGUAGAUAUUCGGAAGAACACCAGUGGCGAAGGCGACUCACUGGACAUGUAUUGACGCUGAGGUGCGAAAGCGUGGGGAGCAAACAGG